Misgurnus anguillicaudatus (oriental weatherfish) is the source of this 888-nucleotide non-coding RNA. The record is from RefSeq and is a predicted model, not a curated record. NCBI's taxonomy places the organism in Eukaryota, Metazoa, Chordata, Actinopteri, Cypriniformes, Cobitidae.
UGACAGUGACAAAAAGGAAGCAGCCUUCUCUAGCCCACCCAAGUUUCCAUCAAAGGAGCAAGCCUAUGUCAGUAAGAAGAAAGCUGGCUAACCCUCCCACCCCUUGUUUAACUCCUCCAGCCCAUCCCACAUCAUUGUAGAGUGAAGAGACUGCGGUUAAUAUUCAGAAAGAGGCGCAGAGAACUGAAGGCUUUCCUGACUUGACACCGAAUAAUAACGAAGGCCUGUGUGCUUUGCAGCAGCCUCCACGUCACCCUCUUCCAGGGCUCCGUCAGAGGACUAACGAUAUGCCACAAGAUGAUUGGCAGCAAGACACACCCAGUGAUGAAGGGAUGUGCUCUCCUUAAAUCACAGCCUAUUCAUCAGGUACUCCUGAGUGCUGUGUUAAGAAAUCCUGCCUACAAAGUUCCGCUGAGGCUGAUAUAAAGAUGACUGUGAGAAACUGGCUGCGGCUGUCUGAGCAGAGACAGGAAUGGGGGCGGCAAAGGCGGGACAAGCAAGCAUCUUAAGUGAAAUAAUUGAUUGGACUGAUUCUGGAGUAUGACUUAUCUUAUUUUUGUUGCAGUUUGCUAUGGGACGGUUUCAAGGACAGGGAUUAGACUAGUUCUAGACUAAAAUAAAUGUAAGAGCUGUCCAAACUGAAAACAACUUGCACUGACAUAUCAUAAAAUACAUCAGUGUCUUUUGUGAUGCUUCAAAAUGCACACAAGUAAUGUUUUUAUUAAGACAUGUUAUUAAAACUAGUUAUAUUUCAGAAUUAAACUAAGGCCUAGUCCCGGUUUAAGAUAAUCCCUGUCCGGGAAACCACCCCAAAGUGUAAUUUGUGGAGUGUUAAAAUAAAUGAAACUGCCUUUGCAAAAACAAAGUAAAAAAAAAUUUCCAGAUGCC